Long non-coding RNA from Harpegnathos saltator (Jerdon's jumping ant), 1054 nucleotides. RefSeq lists it as uncharacterized. The transcript is spliced from 4 exons. NCBI's taxonomy places the organism in Eukaryota, Metazoa, Arthropoda, Insecta, Hymenoptera, Formicidae. The record is from RefSeq and is a predicted model, not a curated record.
UACAUUUUACGACAGUCAGUUUUUCUUUAUGCGUGAAAGAAGGAAUGUACAUAACAUGUAACUCCUUCGCGUUGUUAAUUUUUGUCAUGGUAGAAACUGAUUUCUUGUCGCUUCGAGAAUAAUGGCAUAUAGCAUCUGUAUUAACAAUGCGCUGAUUGAAUUUCUGCUAAAUAAGUCUGCAUCGGACUGCAUGCAGACAAUUUAUCUGUUACGAGAGUUACCAUGACAAACGGUUAAUUUAAAAAAGGAGCGACUACCGGAAGAGAACAAAUGGCUGAGUCGACUGUUUUAAAUACUUUUAAUUUUCUGUACUGACGUUUUCAAUAUUUGUCGCUUCGGUAACUCAGAGACUGCCGAGGAAUGUUGGACCCAGACGAGAGGUGCAACAAUAAUGGGCGAUAAAAUAAAACUCCAGAAGGCGUUUAAGACAGAGAAAAAGAAAGAAAAUAUGGUCGAGAGGUUUUGUGUUUACCUCAUAUUGCGAGAAAGAACAGCAUGUGUGAAGCAACCGGAAGCCAUACGCCGAAGAAAGGCAUCAGGAAUCAUCUCCUACAAGGGAACCUUACCGCAACAUUAUGCUGACGCACGCAAGGAUCGCGGAUCGAAGACGCAUAGAUAUCGGUCGUCGGUGGGAGUCACGCGAGGGGUGCAAACUUGAUGAACUCCCAUAAGAGAAGGGAUGACAGGGCCUGGAUAUCGAUCGCUCUUCGAUAUCACCGAUCCAACGUGGAGCUUUACUUUGGAUGUAUAGCGAAUGCGCUAAUAGAUCAGCAGGACAUACUUAGCGUUCACUUUAUAGCCAGAAUACGAUUUCUGUUUAGUUAGCGACAUUACAUAUGUCUUAAUUCUGAAUUCAGCUAACGGAAAAUUUGCGCUUCCCAACCAACUAAAUGAACUGGAAAAUAUAAGAACUCAUAAUCACUCUGAAUCUCAACCAACCAAACCUAGAACUGCCUUAUUGGAAGCAUCGUAAUAGUUUAACGAGUUAGCACAAUGUUCACAGACAGACCGGCUAAACCAGGCGACCGCCAGCAGAUGGAUGAACUGCACGAAC